GAUGAACGCUGGCGGCGUGCCUAACACAUGCAAGUCGAGCGAUUCUCUUCGGAGAAGAGCGGCGGACGGGUGAGUAACGCGUGGGUAACCUGCCCUGUACACACGGAUAACAUACCGAAAGGUAUGCUAAUACGGGAUAAUAUAUAAGAGUCGCAUGACUUUUAUAUCAAAGAUUUUUCGGUACAGGAUGGACCCGCGUCUGAUUAGCUUGUUGGCGGGGUAACGGCCCACCAAGGCGACGAUCAGUAGCCGACCUGAGAGGGUGAUCGGCCACAUUGGAACUGAGACACGGUCCAAACUCCUACGGGAGGCAGCAGUGGGGAAUAUUGCACAAUGGGCGCAAGCCUGAUGCAGCAACGCCGCGUGAGCGAUGAAGGCCUUCGGGUCGUAAAGCUCUGUCCUCAAGGAAGA
Molecule: ribosomal RNA, 411 nt
Filed under: uncultured bacterium
Lineage: Bacteria
Description: bacterial SSU rRNA
Rfam family: Bacterial small subunit ribosomal RNA
Source: RNAcentral